GGAUAAUUUUCAUGAGAAACCUUUUCUCGUGUGGAAGAAGUGGCGCACAAAAUAAAGGGGUGGCACAUGGAUUAGUUGCCCAUUCAAAUUCAAACAUUCUUUGAAUUUGAAUGGCCAACAAACCAAACUUUAUCCAGAUAAAUGGCACAUAAGAGAGGGCAUGGGAAGGCUUCUGUAUGGGAGAAAAUUUAUGAGAAGUUAUUUCUUGUGAAUUCAAAUGGGCACAGAU
RNAcentral lists this long non-coding RNA (229 nucleotides) under Elaeis guineensis (African oil palm). RNAcentral describes it as "long non-coding RNA (EGUI_LNC071902)". The record is from RNAcentral. Lineage: Eukaryota; Viridiplantae; Streptophyta; Magnoliopsida; Arecales; Arecaceae.